Molecule: ribosomal RNA, 429 nt
Filed under: Fusobacteriota bacterium
Lineage: Bacteria; Fusobacteriati; Fusobacteriota
Description: Fusobacteria bacterium partial 16S ribosomal RNA
Rfam family: Bacterial small subunit ribosomal RNA
Source: RNAcentral
UGGGGAAUCUUCCGCAAUGGACGAAAGUCUGACGGAGCAACGCCGCGUGAGUGAAGACGGCCUUCGGGUUGUAAAGCUCUGUGAUCCGGGACGAAAGAGCCUGAGGUAAAUAGCCUAAGGAAGUGACGGUACCGGAAAAGCAAGCCACGGCUAACUACGUGCCAGCAGCCGCGGUAAUACGUAGGUGGCAAGCGUUAUCCGGAAUUAUUGGGCGUAAAGCGCGCGCAGGCGGCUUACUAAGUCCAUCUUAAAAGUGCGGGGCUUAACCCCGUGAUGGGAUGGAAACUGGAAAGCUGGAGUAUCGGAGAGGAAAGUGGAAUUCCUAGUGUAGCGGUGAAAUGCGUAGAGAUUAGGAAGAACACCGGUGGCGAAGGCGACUUUCUGGACGAAAACUGACGCUGAGGCGCGAAAGCGUGGGGAGCAAACAGG